UAAAUAGUCAGGCUGGCUUUUGCUGGUCGCAGACUUCUUAGAGGGACUGUCAGUGUCUAACUGACGGAAGUUUGAGGCAAUAACAGGUCUGUGAUGCCCUUAGAU
This 105-nucleotide ribosomal RNA is filed under the name Tricholomataceae sp. Its description in RNAcentral is "partial small subunit ribosomal RNA". It matches the Rfam family "Eukaryotic small subunit ribosomal RNA", at positions 1352 to 1478 of the family's 1831-position model. Lineage: Eukaryota; Fungi; Basidiomycota; Agaricomycetes; Agaricales; Tricholomataceae. The record is from RNAcentral.